AAAACGCAUCAUCAGCAGCUCCACACUGUACAUAAUGUGACUUUCUAGCUAUUCAGGAAAAGAAAAAAAAUCAUAAUUAAAACCGUCAUUAUUAUAUAGCAUUAUGUAUGUUCGCACUUAAAAAAAAAUAUUGAAACUUUGCGAAAUCUAUAGGUGUAUAAUGAAAAAAGAAAUUUUUUUUCUAAAAACACUAACGAAUUUACUCAUCCGAAGUAUGAAAGUCUUUUGCGUUUUUAGAGAAUCGUGUCGAUUAUUAAAUUAUUUUGAAAUGUCGAAAACAUUAUGUUAUAACACAU
Molecule: non-coding RNA, 296 nt
Organism: Cinara cedri
Lineage: Eukaryota; Metazoa; Arthropoda; Insecta; Hemiptera; Aphididae
Source: the annotation of a GenBank genome assembly